GAUGAACGCUGGCGGCGUGCCUAAUACAUGCAAGUCGAGCGAACAGACGAGGAGCUUGCUCCUUUGACGUUAGCGGCGGACGGGUGAGUAACACGUGGGUAACCUACCUAUAAGACUGGGAUAACUUCGGGAAACCGGAGCUAAUACCGGAUAAUAUUUCGAACCGCAUGGUUCGAUAGUGAAAGAUGGCUUUGCUAUCACUUAUAGAUGGACCUGCGCCGUAUUAGCUAGUUGGUAAGGUAACGGCUUACCAAGGCAACGAUACGUAGCCGACCUGAGAGGGUGAUAGGCCACACUGGAACUGAGACACGGUCCAGACUCCUACGGGAGGCAGCAGUAGGGAAUCUUCCGCAAUGGGCGAAAGCCUGACGGAGCAACGCCGCGUGAGUGAUGAAGGUCUUCGGAUCGUAAAACUCUGUUAUUAGGGAAGAACAAACGUGUAAGUAACUGUGCACGUCUUGACGGUACCUAAUCAGAAAGCCACGGCUAACUACGUG
This 497-nucleotide ribosomal RNA is filed under the name uncultured bacterium. RNAcentral's name for it is "partial 16S ribosomal RNA". It matches the Rfam family "Bacterial small subunit ribosomal RNA", at positions 28 to 507 of the family's 1533-position model. The record is from RNAcentral.